GUCUUAACCGGGCGUUAAGUUGCAGGGUAUAGACCCGAAACCCGGUGAUCUAGCCAUGGGCAGGUUGAAGGUUGGGUAACACUAACUGGAGGACCGAACCGACUAAUGUUGAAAAAUUAGCGGAUGACCUGUGGCUGGGGGUGAAAGGCCAAUCAAACCGGGAGAUAGCUGGUUCUCCCCGAAAGCUAUUUAGGUAGCGCCUCGUGAAUUCAUCUCCGGGGGUAGAGCACUGUUUCGGCUAGGGGGCCAUCCCGGCUUACCAACCCGAUGCAAACUGCGAAUACCGGAGAAUGUUAUCACGGGAGACACACGGCGGGUGCUAACGUCCGUCGUGAAGAGGGAAACAACCCAGACCGCCAGCUAAGGUCCCAAAGUCAUGGUUAAGUGGGAAACGAUGUGGGAAGGCCCAGACAGCCAGGAUGUUGGCUUAGAAGCAGCCAUCAUUUAAAGAAAGCGUAAUAGCUCACUGGUCGAGUCGGCCUGCGCGGAAGAUGUAACGGGGCUAAACCAUGCACCGAAGCUGCGGCAGCGAACGUAUCACUUAAAGCGAUUCAGCGGAUGACGAUUGACGGAGCGAAGCGACGUCAAAGCGUAUACAAAGUCGAGUCGGUUUAAGGAUACGUUCGUUGGGUAGGGGAGCGUUCUGUAAGCCUGCGAAGGUGGCCUGUGAGGGUUGCUGGAGGUAUCAGAAGUGCGAAUGCUGACAUAAGUAACGAUAAAGCGGGUGAAAAGCCCGCUCGCCGGAAGACCAAGGGUUCCUGUCCAACGUUAAUCGGGGCAGGGUGAGUCGACCCCUAAGGCGAGGCCGAAAGGCGUAGUCGAUGGGAAACGGGUUAAUAUUCCCGUACUUGGUGUUACUGCGAAGGGGGGACGGAGAAGGCUAUGUUGGCCGGGCGACGGUUGUCCCGGUUUAAGCGUGUAGGUGUGUGUUCCAGGUAAAUCCGGUUCACUUUAACACUGAGGCGUGACGACGAGGCACUACGGUGCUGAAGCAACAAAUGCCCUGCUUCCAGGAAAAGCCUCUAAGCAUCAGGUAACAUCAAAUCGUACCCCAAACCGACACAGGUGGUCAGGUAGAGAAUACCAAGGCGCUUGAGAGAACUCGGGUGAAGGAACUAGGCAAAAUGGUGCCGUAACU
RNAcentral lists this ribosomal RNA (1138 nucleotides) under Salmonella enterica subsp. enterica serovar Rissen. RNAcentral's name for it is "partial 23S ribosomal RNA". It matches the Rfam family "Bacterial large subunit ribosomal RNA", at positions 681 to 1735 of the family's 2925-position model. The record is from RNAcentral. Lineage: Bacteria; Pseudomonadati; Pseudomonadota; Gammaproteobacteria; Enterobacterales; Enterobacteriaceae.